UCCAGACUCCUACGGGAGGCAGCAGUGGGGAAUAUUGCACAAUGGGGGAAACCCUGAUGCAGCGACGCCGCGUGAAGGAUGAAGUAUUUCGGUAUGUAAACUUCUAUCAGCAGGGAAGAAAAUGACGGUACCUGACUAAGAAGCCCCGGCUAACUACGUGCCAGCAGCCGCGGUAAUACGUAGGGGGCAAGCGUUAUCCGGAUUUACUGGGUGUAAAGGGCGCGUAGGUGGGCGCUUAAGUCAGGUGUGAAAACUCCGGGCUCAACCUGGAGACUGCACUUGAAACUGGGUGUCUUGAGGGCAGGAGAGGAAAGUGGAAUUCCUAGUGUAGCGGUGAAAUGCGUAGAUAUUAGGAGGAACACCAGUGGCGAAGGCGACUUUCUGGACUGUACCUGACGCUGAGGCGCGAAAGCGUGGGUAGCGAACGGGAUUAGAUACCCGUGUAC
Molecule: ribosomal RNA, 446 nt
Filed under: uncultured bacterium
Lineage: Bacteria
Description: bacterial SSU rRNA
Rfam family: Bacterial small subunit ribosomal RNA
Source: RNAcentral